Paramuricea clavata is the source of this 93-nucleotide non-coding RNA. The record is from the annotation of a GenBank genome assembly. NCBI's taxonomy places the organism in Eukaryota, Metazoa, Cnidaria, Anthozoa, Malacalcyonacea, Plexauridae.
UUCAUUCGGUGAAAGAUGGAAUGUUCCAUUCAACGAGGCAACAGCCGAGUUCAAUGGAACACUCCAUCUUUCACUGAAUGAAAAUGUUCUUAC